UACUACAUGGUAAAACAGAGAGUGUUCAAUGCGAUGUACCACGCUCAUCUAUGCAACAUCACAUGUGAGGAUACUAAUUUAUUGCUUUCAUGCGAAAAGGAUAGCAGGAAAAUGCCAAUCAAGAUGGCGAGCAUGAUAAUGCCAAUCAAUUACUGAUUUCAACAAAAAUCAUUAGCGCCACAAGGCCCUGUUAUUGACUUUGUGCCAGAGGUAAUAUUUGUGUGCUUUUGAGUUUUGAACUUGGAACU
Molecule: long non-coding RNA, 248 nt
Organism: Lolium rigidum
Lineage: Eukaryota; Viridiplantae; Streptophyta; Magnoliopsida; Poales; Poaceae
Exons: 3
Source: RefSeq, a predicted model, not a curated record